Molecule: ribosomal RNA, 1450 nt
Filed under: Vibrio sp. 07071TB1
Lineage: Bacteria; Pseudomonadati; Pseudomonadota; Gammaproteobacteria; Vibrionales; Vibrionaceae
Description: bacterial SSU rRNA
Rfam family: Bacterial small subunit ribosomal RNA
Source: RNAcentral
CUCAGAUGACGCUGGCGGCAGGCCUAACACAUGCAAGUCGAGCGGAAACGAGUUAUCUGAACCUUUCGGGGAACGAUAACGGCGUCGAGCGGCGGACGGGUGAGUAAUGCCUAGGAAAUUGCCCUGAUGUGGGGGAUAACCAUUGGAAACGAUGGCUAAUACCGCAUGAUGCCUACGGGCCAAAGAGGGGGACCUUCGGGCCUCUCGCGUCAGGAUAUGCCUAGGUGGGAUUAGCUAGUUGGUGAGGUAAGGGCUCACCAAGGCGACGAUCCCUAGCUGGUCUGAGAGGAUGAUCAGCCACACUGGAACUGAGACACGGUCCAGACUCCUACGGGAGGCAGCAGUGGGGAAUAUUGCACAAUGGGCGCAAGCCUGAUGCAGCCAUGCCGCGUGUGUGAAGAAGGCCUUCGGGUUGUAAAGCACUUUCAGUCGUGAGGAAGGUAGUGUAGUUAAUAGCUGCAUUAUUUGACGUUAGCGACAGAAGAAGCACCGGCUAACUCCGUGCCAGCAGCCGCGGUAAUACGGAGGGUGCGAGCGUUAAUCGGAAUUACUGGGCGUAAAGCGCAUGCAGGUGGUUUGUUAAGUCAGAUGUGAAAGCCCGGGGCUCAACCUCGGAAUUGCAUUUGAAACUGGCAGACUAGAGUACUGUAGAGGGGGGUAGAAUUUCAGGUGUAGCGGUGAAAUGCGUAGAGAUCUGAAGGAAUACCGGUGGCGAAGGCGGCCCCCUGGACAGAUACUGACACUCAGAUGCGAAAGCGUGGGGAGCAAACAGGAUUAGAUACCCUGGUAGUCCACGCCGUAAACGAUGUCUACUUGGAGGUUGUGGCCUUGAGCCGUGGCUUUCGGAGCUAACGCGUUAAGUAGACCGCCUGGGGAGUACGGUCGCAAGAUUAAAACUCAAAUGAAUUGACGGGGGCCCGCACAAGCGGUGGAGCAUGUGGUUUAAUUCGAUGCAACGCGAAGAACCUUACCUACUCUUGACAUCCAGAGAACUUUCCAGAGAUGGAUUGGUGCCUUCGGGAACUCUGAGACAGGUGCUGCAUGGCUGUCGUCAGCUCGUGUUGUGAAAUGUUGGGUUAAGUCCCGCAACGAGCGCAACCCUUAUCCUUGUUUGCCAGCGAGUAAUGUCGGGAACUCCAGGGAGACUGCCGGUGAUAAACCGGAGGAAGGUGGGGACGACGUCAAGUCAUCAUGACCCUUACGAGUAGGGCUACACACGUGCUACAAUGGCGCAUACAGAGGGCAGCCAACUUGCGAAAGUGAGCGAAUCCCAAAAAGUGCGUCGUAGUCCGGAUUGGAGUCUGCAACUCGACUCCAUGAAGUCGGAAUCGCUAGUAAUCGUGGAUCAGAAUGCCACGGUGAAUACGUUCCCGGGCCUUGUACACACCGCCCGUCACACCAUGGGAGUGGGCUGCAAAAGAAGUAGGUAGUUUAACCUUCGGGGGGACGC